This 441-nucleotide long non-coding RNA is filed under the name Helianthus annuus (common sunflower). Its description in RNAcentral is "sRNA HanXRQr2_Chr16g0760751". Lineage: Eukaryota; Viridiplantae; Streptophyta; Magnoliopsida; Asterales; Asteraceae. The record is from RNAcentral.
UUCCCGCACAAUCCUUCCGCCCAAUAUUUGGAUUUCCCACACACCAACACCAGAGCUUAACUUCCCUUUCCCUAACCUAAUUUGUUCACUUCUCCCCAGGACCCCAGCGAUUAUCUGUGUUUUGCCUCCAUGGCAUCAGUUCUAGGAAGCAACCAUGAAGGAGAUUCCAGAGCCUGAAAGACAUUACUGGUGUGCUGAGUUGUUCCAUAAAGCAAAUCAAAAUCGCCGGUGAUCCAAGGGAUACCAAGCACGACUAGAGGAUCGCAACUUCAACUCCUUCAAUUUUAGUAAUGGACAGAUCAUGGAUGUACCUUGCACCAAGAUCAAGUCAAACUUUUGUUAAUGGGGUGCACACGUUCUUGAAUUUUGCAUUUGAGAGAGCUUGUGUCAAUGGGGGGAAAAUAAAAUGUCCAUGUACAAAGUGUCUAAAUAUGAAAUAUC